UGCGUCGUUUCACAUAUUAGGACUUCUCCCUUUCCCUCGAUCUACAAACUCUGGUGUCGUCAAUUAGUGUUUUUUCUCAUCGGAGUAAAAAACUUGGAGAUACCACAGCAGGAUUCUGCAGCCGAUGAUGAGGGCAUGGAUCUGACGGUGAGUUCCUUUUUUCCUUUCUCUUUUCCUCUUUCGGUGUUUUUGGAGCGUAGGAAAAAUUGUUGUAGAUCUAUUCGGUGACAUAUCUUAGUCUAAGAAUGAUAAAAUAAGGGAUUAUUUUUGGGUGAUAUUUUCCAAUUCUAAAAGUUGAAUAUUUUCUUUGAAAUUAAUUUAAUUCUGGUAUUGCUUUCUUAGUAAUACUAUAAAAAUCAUUACCCAUACAAGUUCCAAGUGACUUUGUUCGUCCCUGAAUAUGUGAACAAAUACGGAGUUGUAGGGACACCGCAAUAUGUUUGGGAUCAAGAGGAGGUGUUGGCCGGUACGUUUGCAACAUUUUUCAUUUUUUUUUUUGAUUAAAAAACUUCCGACAUCUCAUUGUUAAUUGUGUUUUGUGUAGGAAGGAUAAUAAACAAACGUGCGGCUUCUGCAAUGCUGUUUUGCAAUGAUUUAGAGAAUGAAGGUGCCAUCGUUCAAGUUAAGGCACAUGUGAGGUGGUUAUAGUACACACUAAUCUUUUUUGUUAUGUUAUUUUCAUGAGUCUAAAUUUUAUGCCAAAAGGCUUAGCUCAACGCUGUUCUAAUGCCUUGAAACAAGAAUGACAAAAAUGGACCUACUCCCAAAGAUAAGGGACAAUCUUAGCUAAAAACUCUAGAGCAAGGCCUGAAGCUCCCUGCACUUUUGCGCUAUUACUUUGGUAGUAUAAUUUUCUCAUAUUUGGAGAGUAUCUAUUCAUAAUGCAGCAAAAGUUUACAAGAUUAUGGUUGUGAUGAACGUAGUAUAACUCUUUGCCUCAUUCUAAAAAUAAAAAAUAAAAUAAUAACUCUAGUCCAUUUACACUGUCAAUCCUUAAAUCUUUCUCUGCCUAUUGUCCACCCUAUAGAAAGAGGAAUGUCAUUCAAAAAAAGGCUUUGAACUUUUUCUUGCUGAAAUUUCAGACUUUCCGUCAAAGAAAGAGGAUUGACAUUCAAGUUGUACUCCAAAUUAGUAUCACUUGCUUGAGAUUGUGUUUUCAUGAUAUAUGCUAUUCUUAGGUUUAGACGACCAGUAGCGCUAAUAUUAUUAUGUUGCAGAUUUAAAAUUUUGAUAAUCCAAAGCCAAAAAUGCUUUCCUUUAGCUUGUUCUAGUUGGAUAAAAAAUUAGGAGCCACUUUUUGAGUUAUACGAAUUUAUCUUCUCUUAUUUUCGAAUGUUGACGACACUAUGCUUCAUUGGUGAUGGGGAAGAGAUACAAUGUAAAACAAAAAACUAUGCUCUUUUUGUAUGGAAAUGAUACCGAAGAGUCGUGUUGGGCACUGUCCUAGGAAACUGUUUCAGCAAUGUGAAAUGUUUCCUCAGGAUUAAACAAGCUCAUCUCUAUUUAUUUAGAGGAUACAGGAAUCAGCAAAAUUAAAUAAUUAAUCCAACAGGUUCAAAAAAUUGGAAAGAAUUAAUAAUAAUAAUAAAAAAAAAAAAUUAUUAAUAAUAAUAAUAAAAAUCAAUAAUAAUAAUAAUAAUGCUAUUAUGGUUCAUGAAAUGUUGACUAUUGUUAAAUGUGAUUUAAAAUUUCAGGAUGAUUUAUACAAUCAAAAGUUUUUAAUAAAAACUGAUGUUCAAUCUGUUAAAUACAUGUUUAACAAAGAUUUUAUAAUUCUCUUCCUGAUUUCUUAUCCCGUGAAUACUUAAAUUAAUCAUGAAUUUCUAUAAAACCUUUCUAGAUGAAAAAACGUUAAUCACUAUUUUGAAAGUGGUUAAGUUAUAUAGAGACUUACAAAGUCUUAUAAUUGAUAAAAUUAUUGAUAACAUUGUCGAAGAAUAAUUUUCUAUUCAUGAUUAUUCUGAAGAAAUUAGAGAUGAUAUGCAAGACUAUUAUUUAUCUGAAUAAAAUGAAUUAUUAUAUUUGCAGCAUGGACCCUCCGUGGGCCAGAAGUAGAGGCAGAGGCAGAGGGGGAAGAUCAUCCCCAGGAAAAUCAUAUUCUCAAGGAUCGUCAUAUAGAUCCUCAUCUAACUCCCAGUGAUACAAAUCGAAAAAAAGAGUUUAAUUAAUAAGAAGAUAUCUCUCAAAGGAGAAUCUUCGUCAACUCCUAUUCAUUUGGAAGAUAUUCCAGAGGACAGUCCAUUAUAUGGUCAUCUACAGGCAUAUUUAGCUGCUCAAAAGUAAAGUGAUACAGUUUCUUCAAUUGUCAAAGAGGACACUGAUGAUAUAAAGUCCUAUGAAAAAUUGCUUUAAAAAAUAAUAUUUCUUUUAGAAAAUUCUGAGAUACAGAGAAAAGAUGAGCCAUGGAAAAUAUUCCAAAGGUAUUUAAUUAAUGGAUUAUAUUAUCUGGG
This 2450-nucleotide long non-coding RNA is filed under the name Nicotiana tabacum (common tobacco). Its description in RNAcentral is "long non-coding RNA (NTAB_LNC016709)". Lineage: Eukaryota; Viridiplantae; Streptophyta; Magnoliopsida; Solanales; Solanaceae. The record is from RNAcentral.